RNAcentral lists this long non-coding RNA (1187 nucleotides) under Zalophus californianus (California sea lion). Its description in RNAcentral is "lncRNA (ENSZCAG00015006436.1)". The record is from RNAcentral. Lineage: Eukaryota; Metazoa; Chordata; Mammalia; Carnivora; Otariidae.
CAGAGGACACCAUGCAUCCGGGACAAGACAGAGGAAAGAUGAAAACCCAGGCAAGCCCUCUGCUUUUGCAGAGCGAACGUGGCCGCAGGCUUUUCAGCAUUGAAUUUGAACAAGCCAAUGGCAUCCCAAUCAUUGAAACAGGAAGCCAGAUAAACAGCAUGUUAUCAAGGGGGGAUCCGGGUGCUUCCCUUAAGCCGGCGCCAGCUGCGCCCUGUGGCUGUCCUAACAAAGUCCCAUUGACUCACCAGCUGAUUUUCCAGUGUUUGGCACCGGGGGACAAGGAACCCUCUCUGCUGGGUGGAUUUCACCCCUGCACACCGCCCCCACCACUCACCCCUCACGUCCUCCCCCAAUCCUGCCUCCCCAACGCAGACUGGGCUAAUUCUUUAUCCCAUGACCAGGUUCUAUCGGCUCUAGAGAAUAGAAGGGACCACAAGAGCCCAAGCACCGAGCGCCCUCAGGAAUGAAAUUCAAGUCUUCGAGAAUCUUUACUGGAAUAGGAACAGGGACCAAAGGAGCACCAGCACUCUGAUAAUUCCAACAGAAUUAGUAUGGAAGCCCCAAGAAGUGAAGUCACUCAUUGUUAAAUUCCUGCCUCUACCCUGCACCCCUUUCUAGCAACAGAUCUGGUGCAGAGGGUAUGUGUACUCCUUGUCUCUCUACCACCCAUCACCAGCAAGCCUCCACUCUGAACACAGUGCCAAAACUGCUCCAGCAAAGGUAAUCAUUGGCUUCAGAAGCCAAAUCUAAUAUGCAUUUUCUUUCUUUUUUUUUUAAGAUGUAUUUAUUUGAGAGAGAGCUCCUGCGAGAGAAAACAGAAGUGGAGGGAGGGGCAGGGGGAGAGAUUCCUCAAACAGACUCCCCACUGAUCAGUAGCCGGAGGUGGGGCUGGAUCCCAGGACCCAUGAGAGCAUGAUCUGAAACCAAGAGUCAGACACUCAACCAACUGAGCCACCCAGACUCCCCUAAUGUGUGGUGUUUUUUAUUUUUUUAAGAUUUUAUUUAUUUGGCAGAGAGAAGGAACACAAGCAGGGGGAGUGGGAGGCUCCCACUGAGCAGGAAGGAGCCCAGGAAGCCCGAAGUGGGGCUUGAUCCCAGUUCCCCGGGAUCCUGACCUGAGCCUAUCGACUGAGCCACCCAGGUGCCCCCAUUUCCCAGUUUUCAUGUUGCUUGACUUCUAUAGCACC